Molecule: long non-coding RNA, 2940 nt
Organism: Passer domesticus (house sparrow)
Lineage: Eukaryota; Metazoa; Chordata; Aves; Passeriformes; Passeridae
Exons: 3
Source: RefSeq, a predicted model, not a curated record
UCUGCCGGGGUCGGCUGCCAGUGGUCUCUGCCCCAGCACGGGAAAAGGUGGUUCUGGGCAGGCCGCACUCUCGAAGAAGGAGUCUGGACUCUUGCUUUUCGGUCUUCAGUUGAGUUUAUUGUUCCUUAUCUACAAAGUUUUUCUGUCUGUCCAGCCGAGGUCUGAUCAGCAAGACAGCCAAGGGCACUCUCUCCCGCCCAUGGGGCGGUUGUCUCUUUUCUAGUAAAAACUACGUAGAAGAUAUUUACCUUUAAUUUCCAAUACUUUUCGCCCUUGUUGGCAAGUGCACUUUCCCUAUGAACCAAUCCACACAUGCCAACAUCAUCCUGAACGUGGAUGCCAAGGAGAAGACAGAAGAAGGACAGGACAUGCCCAAAUUCCUCCAUCUUAGUACCCCUGACCCCCAUGUACAGAAUUUCAAAACCCCCCUGUACAACAUAUAAAACCCCCCUGUACAGUGCAUUAUAAUUCAAGUUUUAUCAAGUGAGUAUCUUCCCCUCACCAUUCAGGCCUGAAUUUCUCUCAUUUUCUCACAUUCAGGUGUCUUUGGCUUCCUGCCAGGGUCUCCGAGCCCCUGCCAGGGCUCUGAGACAUCCAGGGCAUCCAGAGAGAUGCUCUGGGUUCCGACACUAGUCCUCCAUCAAAGCUUUUCUUUUGACUUGUGUGUUUGGUGAAGGGCACAGGGGAAGGUGCCACCACAAGUCCUUUUGAUUUUCUGUUCUCUUGUUUUGUGGGUGAGUGAGGGGGAAUGGAGUGGCAGGGAGCAACCUGGGUCUCAGGGCUUUAGAAGCAAGGGGGAAUGGAAAUCAAAUUCUCUUAUUGUUUAGCUGUGCUCUGCAAUAUGAACCCACCUGUUAAUUUAAAUUGUCAAGUUUAGUUAAAGUCUAUUAAGUGUUGUGUUGUUUUUAGUUAAGACAAAAUUAUUAUUUUAACUAUGAUUGUUAUACAUUUAAUUAUAAAUCAAACAAAAAAGGGGGAGUCGUGGGAGCUUGUGCUGGAGGGCAGGGGCCAGGAACUGACCAUACAGCCACACAUCAGACAAACAACGACCAACACCAAGCCUCAGGAGAAGAGAAGCCACAAGGGAUGACACCCAGACAACUUAUGGGGAGCUUCUCAUGAAGAGCAGAGGACUCUGGAUUGGGAGUGGCCAUGCAGAUCAACAGCCUGCCUGGACCCAUCAGGGCAGAGGGAAAACAGGUGAUGGCUUUGGGAUGGGCACCCAAAUCUGCCUACACUAUCCCUCAAUGCACCAUCCAGCACCAGGAGAAGCUUUGCUUCAUUUUUUCAGUAUUUUAUCCAAUUACUUUUGAUUUUUUCUUCUUGCUACCUUCAACAUCUGUACAUAGUCCUCUCAUUCCUUUGAUGUUUCUACCUCUUCCUUUCUUUGCACCUUCCCCUCCCUAAUUGUCAGCUGAACUAUUGACAGAUGGCUUUUUUCACCCACUGGUACCUGAUGUGCCAGCAGCAAAAUAAUUCUCAUUAUUUUGCCCCUAACUGCCUUCUCAUUGGGGCACUGUCACAGCUGGCAAAGCUUUGGUCUUUCAUGUGUUUUUUGGGCAGGAGGUGGGUGAGGGCAGACCAAGUGACUUCCUAAGGCCUACAGAGCAAUGCCCUGCAAGCCAGACCUGUUCUCUUUCAGGCAAAUCUUCUUGGAAAGGACUUCAGAAUUCCAACAUGGAAAUGAAGCACUGUUGACAGAGCACUAGACUCUGAAAGGAUUUGAAAGGGGAGAGGAAGCUCAGCUUGCACAUGAGCCACAAGAAGCUUUCUCCCCACCAGAAUUUUGGCAUCACAAUAGCAGUGCUCCAUGCUGGCCAUCUCUCCCCAGGAUAUCCCCCACGUGCACGCCCCUCCUGCUGGCAAUGGGCUCACUUUGGCUGUCUUGUGGGGCAGAGAAGGGAACAGGCACCCAGAGAGGGAGCAUUUCACUGUGUUUCAGAAAAUGACAGCAGAGCAGCCUUCCUCAGCAAAGUCAUCUGAAAUGACUUAAGAGUCCUAAUAGUCUGGAACGCCUCAAGGUGCUCUCAUACCAGGACCUCACUGCUGCCUCACCUGAGGGUUUACAGCUGCCUCCAGGCCCUUCCAGGCUAAGCGCAGGUGCUCAGGAGUCUGACUUUUUCCUGACAUCUCCCAAGAAAGUCUUUGCCUCAUCUGGAUUUCUUGGGGUUUCAUCAGAGGAACCAGGCACCAGCAAAUUUCAUCUCAAGCGUCAGCUCAUCAUUCCGCUGGUUCCCAUAGACCGCAGAUGCCGCCCUGAGCUCACCGUUUCUCUGCGUCCCAUAGACCAUCACAGCCCUUCCAUGGCCUCUCCAGAGGGAAGCAGCUGCACAUCCUCAGAGCAGUAUUUGCCAGCCUGCAGUUCAUCAGCCACCCCAGGCACUUCAGGCCCCAGCGCUCCAGCUGGCAGUGCUGGUUUUGCACCAUGGACAGCCCCCAGCUGGCUGUGGAAUACUCCUGGGGAAGAGGAAUUGCCACCACCAGAUCUGGACAUGGUGCUUGAGACGCUGGAGGAGAUGUUUUCUCCCUCUGCUCAGGUAACUGCAUUGGACAGGGAAGAAAAGGGCUGGGAGCUGAGAGCUUGUGAAUGUUGUUGCAUGGCUGAGAAGCAAAGGCUUCUUGAGUUCAGCUCAGUGAAUGGACAGGAAAAGAUUUGCUUGGUGAAACAAGACUUCCUAAAGAAGAGGGAAUGAAAAAGUCUCCCCCUGAAUAAGGAUGAAGAGGUGUGAGCCUGUGUUGGUCAGGUUUGGGUGCCUGUUUUCCUGGGAAGAAUCCCUCGUGCAGGGGUGUUUGUGGUGAGGAAGUGGAAGCUUUGUAGGUUCUAAGAGGCUUUGUUUGGUGGGAAAGAAGAGAAGAGUGUUUGGAGAAUUGCCAAGUGUCCCGUGCAGGGAGGGACAUGCCAGAGGCUGUGCCUCUUUUGGGUGGGAAGGCCAAGGCAAA